UUUUUAAAUGUUUCAAUAUGUGUUUACACAAAUUACGUAUUUGAAAUUUUCAUUGAUACAACAUGGCACUAAAAGAUGUUAGAAAAGAAAUGCGUAGUGACGUUAUUGCUUGAUGACGUUAGGAACCGAUGAAUCUGCUUUUUGAACCGGUUCAAUGAGCCGAUCUGUUCAAAAAAGAACCGGUUCGCGGAAAAGAAUCGGACUUUGCAUCACUUCCGCAAAAAGAAACACUGGACUGACUACAAGUUAUAUGGGAGAGUAAAUGAGGAUAAUUGACAAGACACACCUGAAUAAUGACACAAUUAAUGGAAGACAGAAACUAGGUCAAAAAACACAAAUUAAAACAAACACAAAAGCCCAUGUGACAACAUUGAAAAAUAUAUAUAUAUUUUUUACAGUGAAUAAAACUGAUAGGGCUUGAUUAUACAGGUCUAAAAUUUCUUAUUAUAUAAUAACAAUAAAAUAUAAACAAUAUAAAAUAUACAAUGCUUACAGGUUUUUUUACAAUCAUGUUUGCACUAAUAACAGAACCUUCAUGUCAUUUUUUAAAACUUUAGACACAUAAUUCACAACCAAUGAUUAAAAUGCACAUUUUUCAAAACACUUAACACUUUUUUUCAAAUGCUUGGAUACAUUUAAGCCAAAUAUCAUUUGUAAUGUAAUUUGUAAUUUGUAAUGUAGGCUAAUGUAACUCAUUUACAAAUUACAUCUAAGUGGAGUGUCUAUUCAUUUCUUUACAAAGAUCUAACUAAUCAAUUGAUACAGUUGCUGAAAAUGUUGAGUAACUGUUGCAUUACUCUCGAUGCACAGCUUUUAUGAAAACUGAUUGGAUUCUCUAUUAAUGAGCUGAUGAUCUGAAUCAGGUGUGUUUGAUUAAGGAGACAUAGAAAACCUGCAGUGGUGGGAGGCCUCCAGGAACGUGGUUAAAGGAUUUUUAGGCUGAAUUAAUUAUUACAACUGGAACCGGGAACACGUCCCAUAACACCCGAUGUACUUGCUACAUCGUUAGAAGAAUGGCAUCUACGCUAAUAUUAGUCUGUUUCUCUCUUAUUCCGAGGUCACCGUAGCCACCAGAUCCAGUCUGUAUCCAGCCCAGAUGGUGGAUCAGCACCUAGAAAGGACCUCUAGAGCCCUGAAAGACAGCGGAGACCAGGACAACUAGAUGAGCCCCAGAGACAGAUCCCCUGUAAAGACCUUGUCUCAGACGACCACCGGGACAAGACCACAGGAAACAGAUGAUUCUUCUGCACAAUCUGACUUUGCUGCAGCCUGGAAUUGAACUGCUGGUUUCGUCUGGUCAGAGGAGAACUGCCCCCGACUGAGCCUGGUUUCUCCCAAGGUUUUUU
Cyprinus carpio carpio is the source of this 1346-nucleotide long non-coding RNA. The record is from Ensembl. NCBI's taxonomy places the organism in Eukaryota, Metazoa, Chordata, Actinopteri, Cypriniformes, Cyprinidae.